Chenopodium quinoa (quinoa) is the source of this 510-nucleotide long non-coding RNA. RefSeq lists it as uncharacterized. Lineage: Eukaryota; Viridiplantae; Streptophyta; Magnoliopsida; Caryophyllales; Amaranthaceae. The record is from RefSeq and is a predicted model, not a curated record. The transcript has 2 exons.
UGUGCCAUUAUAAAUGAUAAUCGUUGUAUUAGCUAUAUAUAUUAGUAGGAAACAUAGCAAGGUUUAAUACUACUAGUGUAUUAAUGUUUCCCAACAUGAAGACUUCUUCCAAAGCAACGAUAGUCUUCUUGGUUCUCCUCCUCGUUUUCUCGUUUGAGAUGAAAUCAGGGGAAUGUCAAUUAUGUUCAUUUGGAACGGUGGAAAUGACAAGAUGCUCAAUUCCUCAAUGUGCUUCGGACUGCCGGCGCAAAGUGUCACAUUCAACUGGGAAAUGCAUUGCUAUCGACACUUGUUGUUGUGCUUCAAGAGCUCACAAGCAUUAAUACUCAAUUCUAUGGACUUAGGAAUGUGCUAAUAUAUCAUAUGCUUUGAGUUAAACUCUUCGAAUAAUAAACAUAGUUUAGAUUUCUCCCUUAAGAGAAGGAUCGUUUAAACUUUUAUUGUAUCUUUCGGAUGUAUUUUACGCUUGAUUUAUGAGCAAUUAAACAAACUUAUUGUCCAUUUUCUAGU